Molecule: ribosomal RNA, 253 nt
Filed under: uncultured bacterium
Lineage: Bacteria
Description: partial 16S ribosomal RNA
Rfam family: Bacterial small subunit ribosomal RNA
Source: RNAcentral
UACGUAGGGUGCGAGCGUUAAUCGGAAUUACUGGGCGUAAAGCGUGCGCAGGCGGUUUUUCAAGUCCGUUGUGAAAGCCCUGGGCUCAACCUGGGAAUUGCAGUGGAUACUGGCGAGCUAGAGUGCGGUAGAGGAUGGUGGAAUUCCCGGUGUAGCGGUGAAAUGCGUAGAGAUCGGGAGGAACACCCGUGGCGAAGGCGGCCAUCUGGACCAGCACUGACGCUGAGGCACGAAAGCGUGGGGAGCAAACAGG